GAGGGGGAAGGGCAUGGUGGACCCCCUGUUCCAAGCCCCCACCGGGAUGGGGACCCACGACGCCGUCCUCAGCUCCUACGAGUACCUCAGCCAAGGCCUCCGCGAGUACAACCUCGACAACAAGCUCGACGGCUUCUACAUCGCCCCCGCCUUCAUGGACAAGCUCGUCGUCCACCUCUCCAAGAACUUCAUGACCCUCCCCAACAUCAAGGUUGCUCACCCACCUCAUCACAUGCUUUCUUCUUAUUCUAUUAAUAACAUCUUGGCACCUGCAGAUUCCGUUGAUUCUGGGUAUAUGGGGAGGCAAGGGGCAGGGGAAAUCCUUCCAGUGCGAGCUGGUGUUCCGGAAGAUGGGGAUCAACCCGAUCAUGAUGAGCGCCGGUGAGCUGGAGAGCGGGAACGCGGGAGAGCCGGCGAAGCUGAUCAGGCAGCGCUACAGGGAGGCGGCCGACAUCAUCAAGAAGGGGAAGAUGUGCUGCCUCUUCAUCAACGACCUCGACGCCGGGGCCGGCCGGAUGGGCGGCACCACCCAGUACACGGUCAACAACCAGAUGGUGAACGCCACGCUCAUGAACAUCGCCGACAACCCCACCAACGUGCAGCUUCCCGGGAUGUACAACAAGCAGGAGAACCCCCGCGUGCCCAUCAUCGUCACCGGAAACGACUUCUCCACCCUCUACGCGCCGCUCAUCCGUGACGGUCGUAUGGAGAAGUUCUACUGGGCACCCACCCGCGACGACCGUGUCGGUGUGUGCAAGGGUAUCUUCCGUACCGACGGCGUCUCCGACGAGUGCGUCACCAAACUCGUCGACACCUUCCCCGGCCAGUCCAUCGGUACUACCCUAUAUUCAUUCAUUCUCUAUAUACAUAUAUCUCUUCACUUCAAUAUUUACAUCACAAUAAUCAUUUUCAUAUUGCAAAUCUACAAAAUACCUACUUUUUGACUUAUUAUACUGUUUUGACUUUACUUGACCAAUUUAAGACUAAAUUCAUAACUAAACCUAAUUUUAGUUGCGAAUUGCCCGCCCUAGCUAUUUCAAGAGCAAUUCAAAACUCUACAUACUCUUAAUUAUGAAUUAAGGGAUAAAACAGUAGAAAUGGCUGUUUUUAUCAUUUUUAUAUUCGUGGCUAGUUAUUUUACUAUCUUGAAAUGAUAAGUCCACUCUUUAUCAACGUAUCUAUUUUGUUGUUGUAAAGAUAAAAGGAAUAAAAGAAAAUAGUAAUUUUUUAGUUCAACGUAUUGUUUUGGUCUUAAUUAGCAUGAGGCUAGCUUUAGAUUAUACUAGGAAGCUUCGUAGUUGUAAAUUAUAAGCAAAGAGUAAUUCAUUUUUUUGAGGUGCAGUAAAAUAACGUUAUUCUGUUUACUUUCAGAUUUCUUCGGUGCUCUUCGGGCGCGAGUGUAUGACGAUCUAGUGAGAGAGUGGGUGAGCGGAAUUGGGGUGGAGAACAUCGGACGUAAGCUGGUGAACUCUCGGGACGGGCCGCCGGUGUUCGAGCAGCCGAAGAUGACGCUGGAGAAGCUGCUGAGCUACGGUAACAUGCUGGUCGCAGAGCAAGACAAUGUCAAGAGAGUGCAGCUGGCUGACAAAUAUUUGAAGGAUGCUGCUCUCGGCGAUGCUAACAAGGAUGCCAUUGACACCGGAAAGUUCUAGAAUAGCUCUCAACCCAUUAUCACGUUCCCGCCUACCUGCUGAUGUUUAUACAAAUUCUGUUUUUUCCCUAUCUUCUUCUCCUUUUCUUUUUCUUGUUUUUCUCCCUUCAAUUUGUGUA
Molecule: long non-coding RNA, 1770 nt
Filed under: Salvia miltiorrhiza (redroot sage)
Lineage: Eukaryota; Viridiplantae; Streptophyta; Magnoliopsida; Lamiales; Lamiaceae
Description: long non-coding RNA (SMIL_LNC007313)
Source: RNAcentral